This 31-nucleotide small RNA is filed under the name Bombyx mori (domestic silkworm). RNAcentral describes it as "piRNA piR-bmo-1779248". Lineage: Eukaryota; Metazoa; Arthropoda; Insecta; Lepidoptera; Bombycidae. The record is from RNAcentral.
UCUGAAAGGUCGCCCGUCUCGGUACGGCAGC